AUGGAUCGCUACAGUGAGGAUGAAUAUAUUGCUGUGAUCAUUCAUCUUGCCAAAUGUGACACAUCAGCACAACAGAGCAUAACUCAAGGGGGAACGCUCGGCCCUCUAACAUCGGUCUUUACCCGACGCUUUGGAGAACCAAGCAGCCGGAGGCUGUGGAGAGGAGCGAAGCAAACUACACCCAACUUCAGGGAAUAGGCAUUAUUCUAAGUGUCCUUUUUUGCAUUGUUUUCCAUUGCAUGAGCGGGAAAUGGCAGGGCACAAGCAGGUAGCCUAAAUGACUGAACAUAAAGAGCCUGCAGCCUGAUAUUACAUUAUAUUCAUACUUAAAAUGAUGAGAGGCUCAAAGCAGACCAGUGCACACCUGCCUUUUUUAUUAUGUGAUUUCAACCAAAAUGGAACAAGCCUCCAGAGCUGCUAAUUCCGAAAGCCUGACAGGUAGUGAUGCUCCAGUCAGGGCUCCUUGAUAUCGCACCCUGUUAUACGAGGCAAUCCACACAAAAAUAUGCUUUGAUUAAACCAGCGGACCGUCGGUCAGGAUGCAUUACUUGGAUUGUCACAAUUAUCAGCACUGAGGCUCAUUUAAGUUGAUGUAUUAGGAAUUGAUUAUCGUUUUACACGCCAAGUGCUUCGGUUUGUAUGUGCUCGUGAGAGACUGCGUGAUAGGCCGAGGGAAAAGUGAUCAGAAACGGAAUUGAUUGCGCGGCUUUAUCGCAGAGACGGCACUAAGUGUCUCCUAUUUAUACACCGAGCAGUACAAAACGUUUCUCCCUCAGUGCAAAUGGUUAACUUUUGGCGACGAGACCAUUCGUCUGAUACGCGAGGGCGGAAAAUGUCCAUUAAACAGAAAAUCUCAAUCAGCAAAAUUUUCACAUGAGCAAAUCUUUCCAACUUGAAUUAUUUCAACUGUAGAUAUACUUCCUGUCGCAGAUUUAACCGUUGCCGCAGCUCUUUUAUUUGUUUGAAUGAAAGCUAAAACUUUGAAGUAGUAGUCUCAGUGCUUUAGAGGGGGUUAAGUGAGAUGAACUUAAAUGGUCGCCUGCCCGGUGGUUGAGUAAGAUGUUUGGUUCGGCGUGUAGACACGAUUCUGCCUCAAUGUGUGUUUUAGGUUUUGCUUUAAAGUGGAGUUUUGGUUGCAAGAGGAAUCCAGGCAGAGACACAAUGGGCAAAGAGCAUUUAAACCCCCCCUUUGUCAUCAUAAUAGAGGCUUGAAAAUAAAGACAUGCAGGAGAUUCAUUUACGCAAUAGCUAUCUUUAACAAUAUCACAUUGGAAAAAUAAAUACACAGUUCGCCACUUUGUGCUGAACCGGCAGGAAGACAGAAGUGCUUUUGUUUAAGCCACAUGGGCCACUUAUCUGAACAACAAAUAUAAUGCGCAUAUAUUACACGCUGUGAUUCCUGUGAAACUCCAUUAGGAGUCACAAUGAUCUUCAACAACAGCCUCCACAGAGAGGAAU
Molecule: long non-coding RNA, 1458 nt
Organism: Gasterosteus aculeatus (three-spined stickleback)
Lineage: Eukaryota; Metazoa; Chordata; Actinopteri; Perciformes; Gasterosteidae
Source: Ensembl